AUUCAGGACCCUUGGCCCUCCUGUCAUGGCUAAGGGUUCAAACAAAGUAGCAUUUGGCGUGACAAUUCACACAGACUCCACAGGCAAAGGGAGUACUGAACAGGGGUCUUGGAGAAGAGAGCCCCAAGAAGAGAUGGGGCAGAGCAAGAGAAUUGGGGCCACCUGGAAAAGCGUCUUAAGUGAACAAAAGGAGACUGACCUGGGCCAAGGAAGAAAGAGGCAGGCCAACAGCAGGAAAUGAAAAGCAGCCUGGGAAGACAGCAGAGGAGAGAGCAGUAAUCAGAACCACACAGAAUAUUUCCAUAGGAAAAAUGCUUGGCAUUCUGCUAAGCCCGAUGGCUUGCAAAACAACUGGGGAUGUACACUGAUCCCCAAAGACAAGUGGAUCCCAUGGCCUGGCCUGAUGCCUUCAGAAGCAACCACUGGUGAGCUAAGGAAGAGCUGGCAGAAAAUGGCUGAGUCCCACAGCCUCCUAAGUCACUCCAUGUUGGCUUCAUCCGAAGCCUUCCACCAUUCCUUAAAUCUUCCUUUUGACGUCAUUCUGUAUAGACACAGAAGUGACUAUGGAUAUUUUUCAUUCGGCUAUGGCUGCUUACAGGUACAGCCCCUGCAGAGCACUGGACCUUUGAGGCUACAGCCAACAUUCUGCUAUCCUGUCUCAGCAUCUUUGACACCCAUUUCCUAGGUGGGAAUAAGAGGAGAUCCUGGCAGCCACAUCUGAGGAGAACGGAGAUACUUCACCUGAGGGUCACCUAGCUAACGACGUCAUCAUCCUUCCCCGGUCCAGCAGCUGCAGCAUGAGAUCAUCGUGGGCCUACCACUUACCAGCUGGUGACCUUAGGAGGAUGAUUUAACUUCUUCUGUGCCUCUGCGCCUCAGGCCCCAGCCUGCCUGAAGUAAGGGCAGUGAUGUCGGAUUUAGAAGUCUGUGGCAAAGGGGUUCUGGGAUGAGAUAAAAGUGUAUAACAAGAACCUCAGACAGGAGGUUCCAGAGCCCAGGUAAGAUGGUUUAAAUAAGAACAUCCACCCAUCUACCCAUAAGCUCAGGUAUUUGAACACGUAGUUCCUAGUUGAUGUAUUUGUUACCUUGUGAGGUCUCAGCUUCCUGCUGCCAUGUCUGCCUGCUGUCAUGCCUCCCUUCCAUGAUACACUGUUAGCCCUCUGUGAUCAUGAGUCCAAAUAAACUUCUUCCAUUCUUUGGGCUUGAUCAUGGUGUCUUAUCGCAGCAAUAGAAAAAUUAACUCAUCUGUCAUGACCCAUUGAAACCAUUUAGCCCAAGUUCUCCCAUUCUGAACCAAGUAGAUCAGGAUCUAUGGGUAGUAUUGUCAAAGCUCUGUGCGAGAUGGUGUAGGCUACUAGGGCUGAGUCUCACUGAUGCUGAGUCUUGAGUUCUAUGUGUGAUUUUACAAUGUGGAUAUACCUGUGGAAAGGCAUGCAUGUUAGCAAGUGUGAAGUCCUUAUCUAGAUUUCUGAGAGAGCCACAGGAAUCUUGUAGUUUUCUUUUUCAAGACUUGAGGGUUGGGAGCAUUUAUGACCCCUGAAUGAAAGCCACAGCCUUGGCUGAUGGAAGGUGUCUGUUGACUCUUCCAGCUGGCAAUGUGCCCCAUCUCCACCACACAGAGCAGACUACAUGCACCAAAUGUUCCUGUACUACUGGCACCUGUGACUUGCAAACACUUCUUCCUGGGGCCAGGAUAUGCACAUUUCACCCAUGAGUAGCAGGGCUGAGACUGCCUCCCUGUGGCUUAAUGAGAGCCGCCAGCAUAUAACCUGCCCUAAGCAGUAAGGGCCACAGAGGGAGGAAGGUCUGCCACCCAGUUCUAAGGGUGAGGACCAGCUUGCUGGGAUACACAGACUAGAAACAAAGUCCUCAGAUAUUCUGACGACUUUGACAGAUGUUUGAUACCUGCAUUUGCAGGUUCUUGGGACACUAAAAAUCUCAACUACUUAGAUCCUUCAAACCUAAAUAAAUCUGCCAGGUGUUCCAAAGACAAUCCUCCAUUUAUGUAUUUGCUUUAAAUAUUUAAGAGACUUCCGCCACAAAAGACCUUGGAGACCAUGCAUGAGAUGAUAGAAAACC
RNAcentral lists this long non-coding RNA (2079 nucleotides) under Mus musculus (house mouse). RNAcentral describes it as "long non-coding RNA chr11:19532243-19534322". The record is from RNAcentral. Lineage: Eukaryota; Metazoa; Chordata; Mammalia; Rodentia; Muridae.